Molecule: ribosomal RNA, 1450 nt
Filed under: Klebsiella pneumoniae
Lineage: Bacteria; Pseudomonadati; Pseudomonadota; Gammaproteobacteria; Enterobacterales; Enterobacteriaceae
Description: 16S ribosomal RNA
Rfam family: Bacterial small subunit ribosomal RNA
Source: RNAcentral
ACACAUGCUAGUCGAGCGGUAGCACAGAGAGCUUGCUCUCGGGUGACGAGCGGCGGACGGGUAAAUAAUGUCUGGGAAACUGCCUGAUGGACGGGGAUAACUACUGGAAACGGUAGCUAAUACCGCAUAACGUCGCAAGACCAAAGUGGGGGACCUUCGGGCCUCAUGCCAUCAGAUGUGCCCAGAUGGGAUUAGCUAGUAGGUGGGGUAACGGCUCACCUAGGCGACGAUCCCUAGCUGGUCUGAGAGGAUGACCAGCCACACUGGAACUGAGACACGGUCCAGACUCCUACGGGAGGCAGCAGUGGGGAAUAUUGCACAAUGGGCGCAAGCCUGAUGCAGCCAUGCCGCGUGUGUGAAGAAGGCCUUCGGGUUGUAAAGCACUUUCAGCGGGGAGGAAGGCGAUAAGGUUAAUAACCUUGUCGAUUGACGUUACCCGCAGAAGAAGCACCGGCUAACUCCGUGCCAGCAGCCGCGGUAAUACGGAGGGUGCAAGCGUUAAUCGGAAUUACUGGGCGUAAAGCGCACGCAGGCGGUCUGUCAAGUCGGAUGUGAAAUCCCCGGGCUCAACCUGGGAACUGCAUUCGAAACUGGCAGGCUAGAGUCUUGUAGAGGGGGGUAGAAUUCCAGGUGUAGCGGUGAAAUGCGUAGAGAUCUGGAGGAAUACCGGUGGCGAAGGCGGCCCCCUGGACAAAGACUGACGCUCAGGUGCGAAAGCGUGGGGAGCAAACAGGAUUAGAUACCCUGGUAGUCCACGCCGUAAACGAUGUCGAUUUGGAGGUUGUGCCCUUGAGGCGUGGCUUCCGGAGCUAACGCGUUAAAUCGACCGCCUGGGGAGUACGGCCGCAAGGUUAAAACUCAAAUGAAUUGACGGGGGCCCGCACAAGCGGUGGAGCAUGUGGUUUAAUUCGAUGCAACGCGAAGAACCUUACCUGGGUCUUGACAUCCACAGAACCUUCCAGAGAUGGAUUGGUGCCUUCGGGAACUGUGAAGACAAGGUGCUGCAUGGCUGUCGUCAGCCUCGUGUUGUGAAAUGUUGGAUUAAGUCCCGCAACGAGCGCAACCCUUAUCCUUUGUUGCCAGCGGUUAGGCCGGGAACUCAAAGGAGACUGCCAGUGAUAAACUGGAGGAAGGUGGGGAUGACGUCAAGUCAUCAUGGCCCUUACGACCAGGGCUACACACGUGCUACAAUGGCAUAUACAAAGAGAAGCGACCUCGCGAGAGCAAGCGGACCUCAUAAAGUAUGUCGUAGUCCGGAUUGGAGUCUGCAACUCGACUCCAUGAAGUCGGAAUCGCUAGUAAUCGUAGAUCAAGAAUGGUACGGUGAAUACGUUCCCGGGCCUUUUACACACCGCCCGUCACACCAUGGGAGUGGGUUGCAAAAGAAGUAGGUAGCUUAACCUUCGGGAGGGCGCUUACCACUUUGUGACUCAUGACUGGGGUGAAGUCG